GAUGAACGCUGGCGGCGUGCCUAAUACAUGCAAGUCGAGCGAACGGACGAGAAGCUUGCUUCUCUGAUGCUAGCGGCUGACGGGUGAGUAACACGUGGAUAACCUACCUAUAAGACUGGGAUAACUUCGUGAAACCGGAUCUAAUACCGGAUGAUAUUUUGAACCGCAUGGUUCAAAAGUGAAAGACGGUCUUGCUGUCACUUAUAGAUGGGUCCGCGCUGCAUUAGCUAGUUGGUAAGGUAACGGCUUACCAAGGCAACGAUGCAUAGCCGACCUGAGAGGGUGAUCGGCCACACUGGAACUGAGACACGGUCCAGACUCCUACGGGAGGCAGCAGUAGGGAAUCUUCCGCAAUGGGCGAAAGCCUGACGGAGCAACGCCGCGUGAGUGAUGAAGGUCUUCGGAUCGUAAAACUCUGUUAUUAGGGAAGAAAAUAUGUGUAAGUAACUGUGCACAUCUUGACGGUACCUAAUCAGAAAGCCACGGCUAACUACGUG
Molecule: ribosomal RNA, 497 nt
Filed under: uncultured bacterium
Lineage: Bacteria
Description: partial 16S ribosomal RNA
Rfam family: Bacterial small subunit ribosomal RNA
Source: RNAcentral